Unclassified non-coding RNA from Ictidomys tridecemlineatus (thirteen-lined ground squirrel), 61 nucleotides. NCBI's taxonomy places the organism in Eukaryota, Metazoa, Chordata, Mammalia, Rodentia, Sciuridae. The record is from Ensembl.
GUAGGAGAAGCCUGUUUCCCAUUUCCUUUGAUGUCUUUUACAAGUUGCGUCUCAUUUCCUG